Molecule: small nuclear RNA, 121 nt
Organism: Vanessa tameamea
Lineage: Eukaryota; Metazoa; Arthropoda; Insecta; Lepidoptera; Nymphalidae
Product: U4 spliceosomal RNA
Exons: 1
Source: RefSeq, a predicted model, not a curated record
UACUUUGCGCAGAGGCAAUAUCGUAACCAAUGAGGUUAAUCCGAGGUGCGAUUAUUGUUAGUUGAAAUAUAUAUAAGUAUUUUAUAAAAUUCAUAACAUUUUAUGUUAUUAUUUCAUAUUA